This 52-nucleotide microRNA precursor is filed under the name Marmota monax (woodchuck). Lineage: Eukaryota; Metazoa; Chordata; Mammalia; Rodentia; Sciuridae. The record is from RNAcentral.
UCUGUAGUGUAAGUAUGUCCCGUGCAUUAUUUGGGACAUAUAUAAACUAAAA